UAUGAAUGUAGGAAUCACAGUAAUUUACAACACUUUGACUGUUCAAACCAGUAUCACUUUGCAGAAAUAACAGCAAUUUCUGCCUGUGAUUCUGUUAAAUGCCGUAGAAUUGCCAGGUUCUAGGCUUUCCAGUAUUUCUUGAAAAUCUCCUUCAAAACGAUCCUGUUUGUUGCAGACAUAAUAUGUGAAUUUCCACCCAGAUGCCAGAAACCGCAAGGCUUUAGAAUUAC
This is a long non-coding RNA of Brienomyrus brachyistius, 230 nucleotides long. RefSeq lists it as uncharacterized. Lineage: Eukaryota; Metazoa; Chordata; Actinopteri; Osteoglossiformes; Mormyridae. The record is from RefSeq and is a predicted model, not a curated record. The transcript is spliced from 2 exons.